This 88-nucleotide transfer RNA is filed under the name Streptomyces chartreusis. RNAcentral's name for it is "tRNA-Ser". The record is from RNAcentral. Lineage: Bacteria; Bacillati; Actinomycetota; Actinomycetes; Kitasatosporales; Streptomycetaceae.
UACGGCAUGGGGUACCUGUUCAUCCCCGUGCUGCUGCCGCUGUCGGCCAUCUACUGGCUGCGCAGGGCGCGAACCCCUAAGCCGUAGC